AUAAGAGGUCCCGCCUGCCCUGUGACUAUAUGUUUAACGGCCGCGGUAUUUUGACCGUGCGAAGGUAGCGCAAUCACUUGUCUUUUAAAUGGGGACCUGUAUGAAUGGCAUAACGAGGGCUUGACUGUCUCCUCUUUCAAGUCAAUGAAAUUGAUCUCCCCGUGCAGAAGCGGGGGUAAGCACAUAAGACGAGAAGACCCUAUGGAGCUUUAGACACUAAAGCAGAUCAAGUAUAAACAUCCUUAACANNNCAGGGUACGAAUUUAACUGACUCUGCCCUAAUGUCUUUGGUUGGGGCGACCGCGGAGAAAUAAAAAACCCCCGCAAGGACCGAAUGUACCNNNACAUUCACAACCAAGAGCGACAGCUCUAAUUAACAGAUACUUCUGACCAAUAAGAUCCGGCAACGCCGAUCAAUGAACCGAGUUACCCUAGGGAUAACAGCGCAAUCUCCUCUUAGAGUCCAUAUCGACGAGGGGGUUUACGACCUCGAUGUUGGAUCAGGACAUCCUAAUGGUGCAGCCGCUAUUAA
This 532-nucleotide ribosomal RNA is filed under the name Epinephelus diacanthus (spinycheek grouper). RNAcentral's name for it is "partial 16S ribosomal RNA". It matches the Rfam family "Bacterial large subunit ribosomal RNA", at positions 1845 to 2568 of the family's 2925-position model. Lineage: Eukaryota; Metazoa; Chordata; Actinopteri; Perciformes; Serranidae. The record is from RNAcentral.